Molecule: non-coding RNA, 386 nt
Filed under: Pongo abelii (Sumatran orangutan)
Lineage: Eukaryota; Metazoa; Chordata; Mammalia; Primates; Hominidae
Source: RNAcentral
GUGUGUCUGUGUGGUGUUCCAGAAGAGAUUAGCAUCAGAAGACUAAAGAAGAUCUGCCCUCACCAAUGCAGAUGAAUCAGUUUCAAAAGCAAGUUUGCCAGCCUAUAUCUUAAUUCAUCUCUGUGGCCAGGGAAGUGGAUUUAUUGAUUUGUUUCAGCUGAUCAACGUCUAUAAUAAGCAAUGUUGAUGGGCUCAAAACCACACAAACUACCAGAGGGGUUGCUUUUCCAAAGAAUCACUUAAGGAUAAAAGAGAAAGAAAGAGAGAAAGACCUUGGAACCCAACUAGUAUCUACCAAAUAGGCAGGGUCUCACUGUGUUGCCCAGGCUAGUCUCCAACUCCUGGCCUCCCAAAGCACUGGGAUUAUAGGGGCAGCUCUUCCCUGG